AACGCACCUUGCACUCUUUGGUAUUCCGAAGAGUAUGUCUGUUUGAGUGUCAUGAAACUCUCAACCCCCUCAUUUUGUAAUGAAGUGAGUCGUGGGCUUGGAUUAUGGCUGUCUGUCGGCUUCAUUGCCGGCUCAGCUGAAAUACACGAGUAACCCAGUUUGAAAAACUGUCGGCUUGACUCGGCGUAAUAAUUAUUAUCGCUGAGGACGUCUAACCUUCAAAUCGUUAGUGGUGCUUCUAAUGCAAAUCAUUUUAAGAUUUAGACCUCAAAUCAGUCAGGAUUACCCGCUGAACUUAA
RNAcentral lists this unclassified non-coding RNA (299 nucleotides) under uncultured Symmetrospora. Its description in RNAcentral is "sequence contains ITS2". The stretch from base 1 to 52 matches the Rfam family "5.8S ribosomal RNA", at positions 103 to 154 of the family's 154-position model. The record is from RNAcentral. Lineage: Eukaryota; Fungi; Basidiomycota; Cystobasidiomycetes.